AAUGAUCCUUUUGAGAAGUGCUUUAUAAAUAAACUUUACUGUUAAUAUUAUUGUUGUUUUUAAAUUUAGAGGCUAAAACAAGACGCCUGGAUAAUUUGCAACAGCCACAGUGGCCGCCCACGGUUCAACCUAUAUGGCAUCAAUCUAAUAAAAAAAACAAAUUUAUGCACCAUUAAAUUUUAAUUAUUAUAAAUACUAUAUUUUAAGCAUUGGUGUCCCUGAAAUACUGCAGUAGAAUUAAAAAAAAAAAGUACCCACAAUCAGGACAUAAAGCACCUUGAGGCGACUGCUGUUGCAAUUUGGCGCUAUAUAAAUAAAAUUGAAUUGUAUUGAACAUUAUAGAAAGUUAUGAGAUAUCUACGAUAAGACUGUUUUUCCCCUUUUCUUGAGCUUGUUUUAAAAUUGAUGUUGCCAAGCUCACAAGUGCUUCAACAGCUGUCAGAAAGUCGAAAAACUUUAAUUGAACUUUCAAGAUUUUAUAAUUUCAUGAAGAACAAAGACACUGUAAGACAGUUGCAAUUAAUGCCAUCAGUUUAAUAUAAGAAAAAAAAGAGAAAAAAGUGCAUCAGGCACAGAAAUUGUUUUUAUGGAAAUUGUUUCUUCAAAAUAAAAGCUUUUCAGUACUUGAGAUUUACUAAAAAGACACCCUGUACGGAAAAUCAUAGUUGUUAUUCAAGUCACGAGUCGUCCUCUGCUCUCUCUGUGUUGGUACACACUUUCCUCUCCACUGCUUACUUAACCUAUGAGAUUAAACAUGUGGUCGCACAUCUGAGAAACUGUGCACUUGCUAAAAUAUUAAUGACACACAGCACACUGGUGAGACUUCUGAGCUGCCACAGUGAAUCCCAAUCAUUCCUCAAAGGCAGCCGGCACGGGGCGAUUCAGCUGAUGGUGUCACUGGCUCUGCAGGUUGAACUGAAACAUGACGUGUAGCACAGCCACAUCAUUUGCCCAUGGUUUUGUUAAAGGCUACUACUGUAUUUUAGGAUAUCACAGCAUUAAAAAACAAAAAACAAACAAAAAAAAACAAAACACCAUUCACAACAUUCCACAAUGUGAGCAGAUAUUACUUUUCACAGAAACACUGUGAUCAUCUUAAAAAAAAAACUGAAACACUUAAGAGGAUGAAACGAGCAGUUGUUUAAAGAGUCCAGCACAGUUUGUAUAUCUUAGCUCUUAUGGCCUACGCUAGAGGUUAAAGAACUACCACAAAGCCAUACCUGUGCAGCCUCCUCUCUCCUCCAGAUGCAUUUUAGGAAUGAGACAUCCUUAAAAACGGCACACUUGAGACAGGAUUUCCAGGGAGGACAGAGGAGACGAGAAGUAACACAUUAGAGAAACACAUACGUGCCCAUGCUACAGUAUUGCUUGGCCUGUUGGUGCUGUGGACAACUGAUAUACUUAAUCACAGGGAGAACAGUAAAACAAUAAGCGAUGUUGUUCAUAUGCUAAAAAUGGAUUUUAGCCUGUUGCUAGCUGGUUGCUCAACAUGCAUAAUUCAGAUUUUGUGGAUAUAAAUAAGUUAUGAAAUUAAAGCUAAUUUUAUAAGGUGUUAUAGGAAUGUAAAGGCUAAAAAGCAGUCAUUUGAGCCUCUUGCUAGGUGGUUGCUAGGCAAUACCAGGACCUAAUAAUACCUGACAUAGAUGAGAACCUUCAGAGGCCUUCAAGAUGUACCUUUGUGCCAAGUUUGGUGGCUCAAGUGAUUGUGUGGGAGGAAUUCACAGAUAAUGACAAACCCCUUCAUCCAGUUUCACCUGUGUGACUUUAAUAUGGCCACAGACUAUUGCUGUGCUUGGGACAAUUAUCAAGCUAUGGAAUAGUUUAAUAAUAGUUUAAGUUUGAGAGCUCCAAUGUGGUAUAAUGUGUUUGAAACUGCCUCUGCUUGGAGUAUGUGGUGCAUGCUCCAGGCAGCGCAAUAGAAGAACUCAAAC
Astatotilapia calliptera (eastern happy) is the source of this 1931-nucleotide long non-coding RNA. The record is from Ensembl. Lineage: Eukaryota; Metazoa; Chordata; Actinopteri; Cichliformes; Cichlidae.